GCGUGAGUGAAGAAGGCCUUAGGGUUGUAAAGCUCUUUCACCCGCGAAGAUGAUGACGGUAGCGGGAGAAGAAGCCCCGGCUAACUCCGUGCCAGCAGCCGCGGUAAUACGGAGGGGGCGAGCGUUGUUCGGAAUUACUGGGCGUAAAGGGCGCGUAGGCGGCGUUUCAUGUCAGGGGUGAAAGGCCCGGGCUCAACCUGGGAAUUGCCUUUGAAACUGUGAUGCUAGAGACCGGGAGAGGAUGGCGGAAUUCCCAGUGUAGAGGUGAAAUUCGU
This 275-nucleotide ribosomal RNA is filed under the name uncultured bacterium. Its description in RNAcentral is "partial 16S ribosomal RNA". It matches the Rfam family "Bacterial small subunit ribosomal RNA", at positions 399 to 691 of the family's 1533-position model. The record is from RNAcentral.